AUGGCGCAGGCGCAGCCCGUGCCGGCGAACUCCCCCGGGUCCGGAGACGCCGCGACCCGCCGUCGCCUCCACCGCACGAGGAGGAGGAGCAUCUUGCUGAACCUGCAUCAUCAUCAUCUGCACAAACUCGGCACACCGUCCUUGAAUGAGUCGCUCAGCGCUUCGGUGUCGGAGGCAGUAGCUCCUGGUUCACCUAUUUUGUCCCGGCUACCGCGUGACUGGGGGCUCCAAUUCUACAUCAUGGUGGAUCUUUCAGGAUCUUUCCACACGUAUCCUCAUUUGGGCGGGCCAUUCAAGAGCUUGCAGGAAGCUGACAAUGCUAUUGAUCGCCAUCUGCAUGACCGCCGGGUCACCAAAAUGUGCCCGGAGCAAGGCAGCGCUUCUCGACUGGAUAAGGUCGUACAACAAUGUCUUUACUGGCCUGAUGGCAGAAGGAAGAAGCGUUCAAAAUCUCAUGUGGUUGAGCAAAGCCAUAAUCGGAUGUGCCUAUUGGCUCAAGCUUUAGUAGACAAGUAUAACGAGAAUCACAAUCUUUUGGGGGAUCUUGCAAAUGAGCUCAAAGACGUUGUGCAAUAUCAAUCAAUUUGUGAGAACCGCGUGUGGUACUAUCAUCUCAAUAUCACUACAAGGGCUAAAGGAGCUGAUGGUGUCCCCCAUGGCGUCGACGAUCUAUUCUUCGCGGAAAUUAAACGUGUGCGACAGGGACAACAUGAAGAAUUGGUGGUCAGCUGUUUCUGCAUGCUCAAACCGACUGAUAACGGUUGCUGCUAUGGUUGUACCAACAACGGAUCUCCUGAUAUGAAGCACCCCAGCAGCACUGACAAAUACAUUGCUGGUCACUUGAAAGUGUAUCUGCCAUUUGGAUGCCGUAGGGAGUUUAGCGACACCGAUGAUGAGGNNNNAGCUGAGGCUAAGCUAAGAGAUAUGUAUGAGGGCCUUGAUGAACCAGAUUUUCUAGAGAAGCUCUUCACAUUCCCCACUUAUGUAACUCUGAGGAAAGACAGGAAGGGAACCUGA
This 1017-nucleotide ribosomal RNA is filed under the name Triticum aestivum (bread wheat). Its description in RNAcentral is "partial small subunit ribosomal RNA". Lineage: Eukaryota; Viridiplantae; Streptophyta; Magnoliopsida; Poales; Poaceae. The record is from RNAcentral.